This 253-nucleotide ribosomal RNA is filed under the name uncultured bacterium. RNAcentral's name for it is "partial 16S ribosomal RNA". It matches the Rfam family "Bacterial small subunit ribosomal RNA", at positions 524 to 776 of the family's 1533-position model. The record is from RNAcentral.
UACAGAGGUGCCAAGCGUUAGGCGGAAUCACUGGGCUUAAAGCGUGUGUAGGCGGAAUGGUAAGUACCUUGUGAAAUCCCACGGCUCAACCGUGGAACUGCUUGGUAUACUGCUUUUCUUGAGCCACUUAGGGGCAACCGGAACAAACGGUGGAGCGGUGAAAUGCGUAGAUAUCGUUUGGAACGCCAAUGGUGAAAACAGGUUGCUGGGAGUGUGCUGACGCUGAGACACGAAAGCCAGGGGAGCAAACGGA